Molecule: non-coding RNA, 2007 nt
Organism: Paramormyrops kingsleyae
Lineage: Eukaryota; Metazoa; Chordata; Actinopteri; Osteoglossiformes; Mormyridae
Source: RefSeq, a predicted model, not a curated record
CCUAGUGAGCAGUUUAGAAGACGCCAUUUUGUGGUUGUAUAUGCAUUUGAUUUGUCUGGCUUGAACACCUGGAAGGAGAAUUUGGCGGGCAUAGUCGUGGCAUCGGCUGUUCAUUUUUUUUUUCUUCCCAUCAAAGGGGUGUUUGGAAGACCACCCCGCGACCCAGUGCUCUCUCUCUCCACAAGACGACGCUGGCAGCACCGCUUGGACGCAUUCCAUGCAUCAUAGCUGUUUACUAAUUUGGUAUGCUAAUUGACUAAUUAAUUUGGUAGCAGGAGAUUAGAUCGCACUUGAAAAUAAACUGCUCGAUGAAGCAGGGGCCGCUCUCUGCUUCCAAAAUGUUUGUAAUAUUUCUUUCACGUGCGCUCCCACCCCCCACCCUUUGCCCCAUGUGCCGCGCACCAGCAUCCCACCCAAGUAAGAGAAAUGACGCGCUUUUAGGGAAGCGAAAGCGGGCGCCGCGGAGCCUCUCCGGCUGCCAGCCGCGUCGGCGGUAUCGCGCAGAUCUCACCGCGGAGACGCGGAGCGGAGGUCCGCAGGACUUAACGACUCCCGGUUUGCAGGUGGCGAGCGACAGAGUCCCCUCUGAUGGUGAUAAUUCUGCUCUCUGUUGGUUCACAGAAUCAUUUAAAAACAAGGCAACUAGCACACCACUUUUUAAAGGCUAUCAAGGAAAAUGUUUCUGACACAAGCAGAUGGGCUGAACAUAUUUCCACUUUCAUCUGGACCAUUUACAGAGAUGAACCCCUACCUUCCUUAGAGCCUGGAUGUGGUAGUUUCCAUGGUGAUGGGUGGGGGGGAGAUCAGCUGGACUGCUCUUCUAAGUCCUGGAAGACUGGGCAUUCUCCAGUGUGGAGAUUAAGGGUUUGUCCACAAGGUGGCAGAACUGAGACACAAAACCGAUCUAGCUGAAAUUUAAUUGCCCCCUACUUAUUUAAUUAAGGCCACUAGCUUACUGUUCUUAGGGCCAUUGCAAUUCUUUCUUCACCUCUCCUGAUUAUAACAAUUAAACUCUGUGCAUCUCGCUCCCCUAAUGGCCGGUGGUGUGAGCCCUUUAAUCAGGCUAAUUUUUACUCUCUGCUAGCCUCAAGGUCCAGCCCAACAUCACACUGCUAAUGCUAUGUUGACCUUUGCCCCAUAGGUAUAUCUGGAAAGUUCUGUGUGAAGAUCUCUCCAAUAUGGCAAAUGGCAAUGAUUUUCACCCUCCUUGUUGAUUAUGCUGUCCUCUGUCACUUAUCUUGUAUAGUGGCCUCAUUUCAAAAUCGCUUCACUAAAACAUGCCUGAAGGAGUCCAUCCGUCCAUCUUCUCAGGAAGGACAGGAGCCCCUCGUUGGUAGGCCGGUCCAUCAGGGCACGCUCACACGUACAGCAUGCAGUCACACACACUGGAUGUUUUAGAGAUGCCGUUUCACCUCGCUGCAUGUUUUUGAACUUCAAUAUCUUUAGGAAGCCCACACAACAUGUGGAAAACAUGCAAACACCACUUGUGUAGGUAUCUGAAAUUUUCUCUUAUAAACUCAUUUCUGGUUUGAAAGCACCGUAGAUAAUCAAAUUUGUUAUCUGAGCGAAGCAGUGACGCACGGAACUAGCUCGCUAUUUUAAAACGCUGUGUAAUUCAUAAACAAAUCAGAAAGCUUUCAGUGACACAGAUUGGUGAUGAGAGCACAUUUUUGACCCCAUCCCCAAACACAUCAGUGUUCAAUUUUUUUUUUGGCUAUUAUGUUCAGAACACGUUGUCUCUCUCCCAAUAUUAUUUUUGUUUUCCCAGUGGGAGAUGCUGUUAAGGAUUACUCCUAUGAUGUGACACAUUCUGCGCUGUGUGACGGGAACUUAUUCCUCCUAAUAUGUGAGCAUGUCCAAAUAUACACACACACUCCCAAAGGCAUGUUGUCUUUUCUCGUUCUCUGUUACCUUGCUGUGCAAAACCAUAGCAACCAAUGACAGGAAUGAGUUCGGCAAGUGUUUUAUGGACUGGGGCAGGGCUGGACCUGCAUCCACUAGGGUUGU